This 1372-nucleotide ribosomal RNA is filed under the name uncultured bacterium. RNAcentral's name for it is "bacterial SSU rRNA". It matches the Rfam family "Bacterial small subunit ribosomal RNA", at positions 28 to 1381 of the family's 1533-position model. The record is from RNAcentral.
GAUGAACGCUGGCGGCGUGCCUAAUACAUGCAAGUCGAGCGAACGGACGAGAAGCUUGCUUCUCUGAUGUUAGCGGCGGACGGGUGAGUAACACGUGGAUAACCUACCUAUAAGACUGGGAUAACUUCGGGAAACCGGAGCUAAUACCGGAUAAUAUUUUGAACCGCAUGGUUCAAAAGUGAAAGACGGUCUUGCUGUCACUUAUAGAUGGAUCCGCGCUGCAUUAGCUAGUUGGUAAGGUAACGGCUUACCAAGGCAACGAUGCAUAGCCGACCUGAGAGGGUGAUCGGCCACACUGGAACUGAGACACGGUCCAGACUCCUACGGGAGGCAGCAGUAGGGAAUCUUCCGCAAUGGGCGAAAGCCUGACGGAGCAACGCCGCGUGAGUGAUGAAGGUCUUCGGAUCGUAAAACUCUGUUAUUAGGGAAGAACAUAUGUGUAAGUAACUGUGCACAUCUUGACGGUACCUAAUCAGAAAGCCACGGCUAACUACGUGCCAGCAGCCGCGGUAAUACGUAGGUGGCAAGCGUUAUCCGGAAUUAUUGGGCGUAAAGCGCGCGUAGGCGGUUUUUUAAGUCUGAUGUGAAAGCCCACGGCUCAACCGUGGAGGGUCAUUGGAAACUGGAAAACUUGAGUGCAGAAGAGGAAAGUGGAAUUCCAUGUGUAGCGGUGAAAUGCGCAGAGAUAUGGAGGAACACCAGUGGCGAAGGCGACUUUCUGGUCUGUAACUGACGCUGAUGUGCGAAAGCGUGGGGAUCAAACAGGAUUAGAUACCCUGGUAGUCCACGCCGUAAACGAUGAGUGCUAAGUGUUAGGGGGUUUCCGCCCCUUAGUGCUGCAGCUAACGCAUUAAGCACUCCGCCUGGGGAGUACGACCGCAAGGUUGAAACUCAAAGGAAUUGACGGGGACCCGCACAAGCGGUGGAGCAUGUGGUUUAAUUCGAAGCAACGCGAAGAACCUUACCAAAUCUUGACAUCCUUUGACAACUCUAGAGAUAGAGCCUUCCCCUUCGGGGGACAAAGUGACAGGUGGUGCAUGGUUGUCGUCAGCUCGUGUCGUGAGAUGUUGGGUUAAGUCCCGCAACGAGCGCAACCCUUAAGCUUAGUUGCCAUCAUUAAGUUGGGCACUCUAAGUUGACUGCCGGUGACAAACCGGAGGAAGGUGGGGAUGACGUCAAAUCAUCAUGCCCCUUAUGAUUUGGGCUACACACGUGCUACAAUGGACAAUACAAAGGGCAGCGAAACCGCGAGGUCAAGCAAAUCCCAUAAAGUUGUUCUCAGUUCGGAUUGUAGUCUGCAGCUCGACUACAUGAAGCUGGAAUCGCUAGUAAUCGUAGAUCAGCAUGCUACGGUGAAUACGUUCCCGGGUCU